CGGGCAGAAUAUACGGCCGCGGCGGCUUAGGCCGACGAGGAAAGUCCGGGCUUUACAGGGCAGGAUGCCGGAUAACGUCCGGUGAGGGAAACCUUAAGGAAAGCGCAGCAGAAAUGAUACCGCCGGGAAACCGGUAAGGGUGAAAUGGCAGUGUAAGAGACUACCGCUUCUCUGGUAACAGAGAGGGUCAAUGCAAGCCCCAUCCAAAGCAAGACCAAGUUGAAGCCAUACGGUUGCCCGCCGUGCUUCAGGUAGGUCGCUUGAGCGUAUCGGCAACGGUACGCCUAGAUAGAUGGCCGUACACGACAGAACCCGGCUUACAGUUCUGCCUAUGAU
Molecule: RNase P RNA, 336 nt
Filed under: Candidatus Equihabitans merdae
Lineage: Bacteria; Bacillati; Bacillota; Clostridia; Lachnospirales; Lachnospiraceae
Description: RNase P RNA component class A
Rfam family: Bacterial RNase P class A
About the family: Ribonuclease P (RNase P) is a ubiquitous endoribonuclease, found in archaea, bacteria and eukarya as well as chloroplasts and mitochondria.
Source: RNAcentral